UACGGAGGGUGCGAGCGUUGUCCGGAAUCACUGGGCGUAAAGGGUGCGUAGGCGGGUCUUUAAGCCAGGGGUGAAAUCCUGGAGCUCAACUCCAGAACUGCCUUUGAUACUGAAGAUCUUGAGUUCGGGAGAGGUGAGUGGAACUGCGAGUGUAGAGGUGAAAUUCGUAGAUAUUCGCAAGAACACCAGUGGCGAAGGCGGCUCACUGGCCCGAUACUGACGCUGAGGCACGAAAGCGUGGGGAGCAAACAGG
Molecule: ribosomal RNA, 253 nt
Filed under: uncultured bacterium
Lineage: Bacteria
Description: partial 16S ribosomal RNA
Rfam family: Bacterial small subunit ribosomal RNA
Source: RNAcentral